RNAcentral lists this ribosomal RNA (475 nucleotides) under uncultured bacterium. RNAcentral's name for it is "bacterial SSU rRNA". It matches the Rfam family "Bacterial small subunit ribosomal RNA", at positions 25 to 518 of the family's 1533-position model. The record is from RNAcentral.
CAGGACGAACGCUGGCGGCGUGCCUAACACAUGCAAGUCGAGCGAGGAGAUCCUUCGGGAUGAUCCUAGCGGCGGACGGGUGAGUAACACGUGGGCAACCUGCCUCAUAGAGAGGAAUAGCCUUCCGAAAGGGAGAUUAAUACCUCAUAACAUUGCAGUUUCGCAUGGUACAGCAAUUAAAGGAGUAAUCCGCUAUGAGAUGGGCCCGCGGCGCAUUAGCUAGUUGGUGAGGUAACGGCUCACCAAGGCGACGAUGCGUAGCCGACCUGAGAGGGUGAUCGGCCACAUUGGGACUGAGACACGGCCCAGACUCCUACGGGAGGCAGCAGUGGGGAAUAUUGCACAAUGGGGGAAACCCUGAUGCAGCAACGCCGCGUGAGUGAUGACGGCCUUCGGGUUGUAAAGCUCUGUCUUCAGGGACGAUAAUGACGGUACCUGAGGAGGAAGCCACGGCUAACUACGUGCCAGCAGCAGC